CAUUUUGAUUUUCUUAUAAAUAAUUCACAAUUUUUUUUUAAAUACUUCAGUAAGGAACAUUUUGCCCUAGGAUAAGAUUUUGACGCCAACUAAAUAUCACCAUUCAUCAACACCUUUAAUUUUCUUUUCAACACAGACUACAGAUAUGCCUUGCAAAAUGAUAAUGAGAUUGAAGAUGAUUUUGUAGGUAAGUCUGUGUUCCAUUCUAGAUAGCGUUGUGUUGUAUAUUGCUGUGUACUACUAGGGCGUGCACGGUUGGCUGUCCGGAACAUCCGGAACAAUUGGAACUGCAACCGAGUAAGGCAGAACAGGAUCGGAACACUGUUCUGGACAUGUGCAGCCUGUCCCGCCAGAAGAGGUGGUGGGAGUGGAACAAUGACGUAAGCAAGAUGGCGACAGCAUGAGUUCAACUCAAGAUUCCCUUAUAGCCAAGUGGACUUGCUUUAUGUGUAAACAACACCCGACAAUCUACUCCUUAGAAGCAUUUGAGGAACAGGAAGAAAGUAAAAAAUAUAUUCCGUUGUUUGUUGACGGAAAUUAUAGGAUAUUCCUUCGGUGCACCCUAUGUAAUAAAACAUUCCAUGCACACUGUGCCAUCUACGACACACUAGAAUUGCUG
This is a long non-coding RNA of Pecten maximus, 619 nucleotides long. RefSeq lists it as uncharacterized. The transcript has 3 exons. NCBI's taxonomy places the organism in Eukaryota, Metazoa, Mollusca, Bivalvia, Pectinida, Pectinidae. The record is from RefSeq and is a predicted model, not a curated record.